UACAGAGGUCCCGAGCGUUGUUCGGAUUCACUGGGCGUAAAGGGUGCGUAGGCGGGUCGAAAAGUCCGCUGUGAAAGCCCGAGGCUUAACCUCGGCGGGUCGGUGGAUACUUUCGGUCUUGAAGGUGCUAGGGGGAGAUGGAAUUACCGGUGUAGCGGUGAAAUGCGUAGAUAUCGGUAGGAACACCAGUGGCGAAGGCGGUCUCCUGGGGCAUUCUUGACGCUGAGGCGCGAAAGCUGGGGGAGCGAACGGG
RNAcentral lists this ribosomal RNA (253 nucleotides) under uncultured bacterium. Its description in RNAcentral is "partial 16S ribosomal RNA". It matches the Rfam family "Bacterial small subunit ribosomal RNA", at positions 524 to 776 of the family's 1533-position model. The record is from RNAcentral.